CACGUAGGGGCCAAGCGUUGUCCGGAUUUAUUGGGCGUAAAGAGCUCGUAGGCGGUUCGACAAGUCGGGUGUGAAAACUCCGGGCUCAACCCGGAGACGCCACCCGAUACUGUCGUGACUGGAGUCCGGUAGGGGAGUGGGGAAUUCCUGGUGUAGCGGUGAAAUGCGCAGAUAUCAGGAGGAACACCGGUGGCGAAGGCGCCACUCUGGGCCGGUACUGACGCUGAGGCACGAAAGCGUGGGGAGCAAACAGG
Molecule: ribosomal RNA, 254 nt
Filed under: uncultured bacterium
Lineage: Bacteria
Description: partial 16S ribosomal RNA
Rfam family: Bacterial small subunit ribosomal RNA
Source: RNAcentral